Molecule: long non-coding RNA, 1075 nt
Filed under: Macaca mulatta (Rhesus monkey)
Lineage: Eukaryota; Metazoa; Chordata; Mammalia; Primates; Cercopithecidae
Description: lncRNA (ENSMMUG00000059331.1)
Source: RNAcentral
GUCUGCCGGGUCACCCUGGCGCUGAACACACCUUCCGGGAAGCCUUUCUGACUCACAGUGAGGGCAUUAACGAGCCCUUUCUCUAGCUCCAUAACGCCCCUGCUGACUUGCAAAGAUUUGGUUACUUCUCUACAAAGCGUUUUCAUUGUCUCUGGAUGGUCUGGACUCAGGAACACACACUUCCCCUCCCUCACUGCUGCCACACAGUCAGGUGCCCCAUCUGAGCGAGCAGUCCGGCCUCCAAGGGGGUUGGUGCCCCUGGCACCCAGCCAGGCUGGUCAGCCUCAGCUUUGCAAAGCACUCUGUGGUCCGGCACAUCAUUGAAGUCCUCCAUCCAAGACCCCCGUCCAAGACGAGGCACAGAAGUCCAAGGACAGCAUGCUGGUGCCUGCCCCCUACCUCAGCACUGCCAUCCCCAGGGGGCCUGCAGUCCCGUGACACAGAAGGCGCCACAGCGUUCCAUAUGACAGCCAGCGGUUUGCAAAGCUCAGUUUUAUGGCCUGGGCAUCACCAGUGUCAGAAGAAGGGCAAAGGGACCCCAGCCCGGAAUCCUGCCUGUGACAGGCUCUCCUGAGCAACCGUGACUUCCAUCUAAGGAGGGUGCCAUGGGCAUUGGCAUUUGGUUGCUCUCCAUCUCGGGCCCCAGCUGGGAGGACGGUGGAAGGGUUUUUCAUCCACACAGACUGGGACGAGACCUUCACAGACUCCAGACCUCAGCCAGCUGUGGAAGGAGGAGCCUGGGCCCGCGAUGGCUCAGGAGAAACCUGGUGGCAGAGAGUCUGACCCCUCAGCAGGACACCGGGUAAGCUCAGGCAAGGCAAGGUGGCCACGCAGGCUGCAGGCAGGAGGGAGCGGAGGGCCCGGAGCUCAGGGAUGGACGGACAACCCGGCUCCCUGCGCGGCAGCCCCCGACACCCCCGCGAAGAUCCACGUGCCCAGAGUGAAGAAAGAGAAGCUACAGUGUAACAUUCUAGACUGAGCCACGUUGCCCGUCAAGGGUGGGGAGAAUAAAGGCGUGUCAGGACUGCCCACGUGCCUUCCAAAACGUUACAUAAGCACUUGCUGCGGUGAAACA